GACGAACGCUGGCGGCGUGCUUAACACAUGCAAGUCGAACGAUGAUGCUGGAGCUUGCUCCAGUUGAUUAGUGGCGAACGGGUGAGUAACACGUGAGCAAUCUGCCCUUGACUCUGGGAUAACUGCGGGAAACUGUAGCUAAUACCGGAUACUUUCACCGGAAGGCAUCUUCUGGUGAUGAAAGAAUUUCGGUCAGGGAUGAUCUCGCGGCCUAUCAGCUUGUUGGUGAGGUAACGGCUCACCAAGGCGCCGACGGGUAAACGGCCGGAGAGGGUGACCGGUCACAAUGGGACUAGGACACGGCCCAGACUCCUACGGGAGGCAGCAGUGGGGAAUAUUGCACAAUGGGCGCAAGCCUGAUGCAGCAACGCCGCGUGAGGGAUGAAGGCCUUCGGGUUGUAAACCUCUUUUAGCAGGGAAGAAGCGAAAGUGACGGUACCUGCAGAAAAAGCACCGGCUAACUACGUGCCAGCAGCCGCCGUAA
RNAcentral lists this ribosomal RNA (484 nucleotides) under uncultured bacterium. Its description in RNAcentral is "partial 16S ribosomal RNA". It matches the Rfam family "Bacterial small subunit ribosomal RNA", at positions 28 to 523 of the family's 1533-position model. The record is from RNAcentral.